This 183-nucleotide small RNA is filed under the name Gammaproteobacteria bacterium. RNAcentral describes it as "6S RNA". Lineage: Bacteria; Pseudomonadati; Pseudomonadota; Gammaproteobacteria. The record is from RNAcentral.
CUCCUCCUGCAGUGUUCGAUGCGAGUCUGGAAGUCCCUCGACCCUAAAUUUCAGAUCGGGGUCGUUCUCUGCAGGCAGCUGUGUGCAUAACCGCUUCGGCGGAAAGCCUUCGCUGCCGCGGUUGACCCCACCUUCCGCUCUGGUUCGAGAGCGAUGAUUCGUAACGGCACAUGCGGGAGGAGC